CCUACGGGUGGCAGCAGUGGGGAAUAUUGGACAAUGGGCGAAAGCCUGAUCCAGCCAUGCCGCGUGUGUGAAGAAGGCCUUCGGGUUGUAAAGCACUUUCAGCGGGGAAGAAAGCCUUGGGGCUAAUACCCUCGAGGAAGGACAUCACCCACAGAAGAAGCACCGGCUAACUCCGUGCCAGCAGCCGCGGUAAUACGGAGGGUGCGAGCGUUAAUCGGAAUUACUGGGCGUAAAGCGCGCGUAGGCGGUCUGAUAAGCCGGUUGUGAAAGCCCCGGGCUCAACCUGGGAACGGCAUCCGGAACUGUCAGGCUAGAGUGCAGGAGAGGAAGGUAGAAUUCCCGGUGUAGCGGUGAAAUGCGUAGAGAUCGGGAGGAAUACCAGUGGCGAAGGCGGCCUUCUGGACUGAGACUGACGCUGAGGUGCGAAAGCGUGGGUAGCAAACAGGAUUAGAUACCCUGGUAGUC
Molecule: ribosomal RNA, 465 nt
Filed under: Vreelandella stevensii
Lineage: Bacteria; Pseudomonadati; Pseudomonadota; Gammaproteobacteria; Oceanospirillales; Halomonadaceae
Description: partial 16S ribosomal RNA
Rfam family: Bacterial small subunit ribosomal RNA
Source: RNAcentral